Molecule: ribosomal RNA, 169 nt
Filed under: uncultured bacterium
Lineage: Bacteria
Description: partial 16S ribosomal RNA
Rfam family: Bacterial small subunit ribosomal RNA
Source: RNAcentral
GCCUACGGGAGGCAGCAGUGGGGAAUAUUGGACAAUGAGGGCAACCCUGAUCCAGCAAUGCCGCGUGAGUGAUGAAGGCCUUCGGGUUGUAAAGCUCUUUCGGCGGGGAAGAUGAUGACGGUACCCGCAGAAGAAGCCCCGGCUAACUUCGUGCCAGCAGCCGCGGUAA